AAAACUUUUGAUUAGUAUUGACAGCUACUAAAUAUUUAUGCCGCUUUCUUUUUAGUUUUCAUGAUUUCAUGAAAUCAUUCACGAAUUUUUGUUCAAUUCUGCAAUAUAAACCACACAAUUCGUACAUGAACGAAGCUGUUAAAGCGCGCCAUCUGUGGCAUCACCAUAAUAACACUUAACUCCAAAGUACUGUGCUAUUGUGACUUCAAGCUUAAACAUAACUGUAAUCCAAAUAAUAGGAAUUUCAAUAAUAAAAAUUGUAGCAGUCUGCGCUGUCAGUUAAAAAUAUUCACUUAUACCUCUUAUGAUAAAAGCUGAGAAAUAUAUUUAUCGCGUAAAUUGUAGAUACGCCCAUAUUGUUUCUGGCUACCCUGUCGGAAAAAUAUUCGGAUAUUCCUUUUAUCAUAACAGCUAAGCAAUACAUUUAUUACGAGUAUUAUUGGUAUGAAAAAUUUUUCCAUUAGAUAUACUGACAUAUUGCGUUUAUCUCAUGAAGUCUACAUAAAAUCGGCAACUUUAUAAUUUCAAAAAGUUAUUUUGUUGAUCGUAAUAACCAUUUUUACUACUAUAGGAUUCAAUUUAAUAUAAUUACGCUUAACAAUGCCUCGAAAAAGGUGUAUAGGAGUGUCAGCUGAUCGCAAAAAACGUAAUUGCCUUCCAAUAAACCAAGAUAUGCAACAACGGCAGAUCUAUUUGCAAUUUAGUAGUGUUUUGGUGCCAUCAUAUUUUCAGCAAUUAAGUGAAGAUGCCAGUGCAAGGAGGCGGCAAGAAAAGCUACCAAAGACGUAUUGCGGUGCACGUCUUUUCCUUAAAGACGAUGAGAUAGAAUCAAAUAGUGUUGAACGCAUGGAGAAGAUAUUUGAGUUUUGCUCAGCUAAACUUUCUCCAGGCGAGGCAGCUGAUAAUACUGCAUCCAUCUGUUGUCACAAGAGCUAGGUGAGUUUACCACCAAUUUCUGUCCGCGAUGAGC
Molecule: long non-coding RNA, 970 nt
Organism: Rhagoletis pomonella (apple maggot)
Lineage: Eukaryota; Metazoa; Arthropoda; Insecta; Diptera; Tephritidae
Exons: 3
Source: RefSeq, a predicted model, not a curated record